RNAcentral lists this ribosomal RNA (501 nucleotides) under uncultured Glomus. RNAcentral's name for it is "SSU rRNA". It matches the Rfam family "Eukaryotic small subunit ribosomal RNA", at positions 591 to 1092 of the family's 1831-position model. Lineage: Eukaryota; Fungi; Glomeromycota; Glomeromycetes; Glomerales; Glomeraceae. The record is from RNAcentral.
CCAAUAGCGUAUAUUAAAGUUGUUGCAGUUAAAAAGCUCGUAGUUGAAUUUCGGGAUCAUCAGGUUGGUCGUGCCUCUGGUAUGUACUGAUUUCGAUGGUCCCUCCUUCUUGAAGAGCCGUAAUGCCAUUAAUUUGGUGUUGCGGGGAAUCAGGACUGUUACUUUGAAAAAAUUAGAGUGUUUAAAGCAGGCAAUCGCUUGAAUACAUUAGCAUGGAAUAAUGAAAUAGGACGUUCGAUCCUAUUUUGUUGGUUUCUAGGAUUGACGUAAUGAUUAAUAGGGAUAGUUGGGGGCAUUAGUAUUCAAUUGUCAGAGGUGAAAUUCUUGGAUUUAUUGAAGACGAACUACUGCGAAAGCAUUCGCCAAGGAUGUUUUCAUUAAUCAGUGAACGAAAGUUAGGGGAUCGAAGACGAUCAGAUACCGUCGUAGUCUUAACCAUAAACUAUGCCGACUAGGGAUCGGAUGAUGUUAAUUUUUUAAUGACUCAUUCGGCGCCUUACG